AAAAACUUAGUUAACAUGAUAACAUUAGUUUGUCAAACUAAAAUAACCUUUUAGGUAGUUUUUA
RNAcentral lists this transfer RNA (64 nucleotides) under Rhopaea magnicornis (brown cockchafer). Its description in RNAcentral is "tRNA-Asp". The record is from RNAcentral. Lineage: Eukaryota; Metazoa; Arthropoda; Insecta; Coleoptera; Scarabaeidae.